AACUAUGAAUGUCUAUGAUGCUAUAAAAAUUGUUCUUCACUAGUUGGUGCAGAUAUCUUCGGCACGAAAUCAUUCAGAAUUUCAAAAUUCACGUUCGAGUUUGCAAUAAAAAUCAAUUUAUCCCAAUAAUCCCACUAUUAUAUCGCACAGAAGAUUAUUUCAUUUAAAUGGCUUCAAUGAUAUUAUUUAGUAUGCUAUCAAAUAAUGCUUAAUCUCGUGCAAAGUGUUUGCCGGCACACCUGACGAUGAUUCAGGCACUUCGAAUAAGCACUCCAUCACGCUAGAAAUGCGGAAUCAACUGGUGACUGGUGACAAACCUUGCCGCUUGUAUUACACACCGGCUUUAUGAAUAAAGUGGUAGAAACGGUUGCAUAAGCAUGGAGUUUUAGCGGAUUAGUUCGGUGUUAAAGUGCCGGGAUUGUUUGAGAUUGGCCGCGGAAAUAUUUACCGCUGUAAGUGUACUGGCCAUUCAUUGAGAACGCGGUAGCGCCGCACCGAGACUACCGACCACACGUACGUAACAAGUUGACCGACGCUGAAGCGAUAAACAGUGCGCAUCUGACAAAACCGCGUAUCGCCAACUAUAAAACCC
Long non-coding RNA from Paramacrobiotus metropolitanus, 592 nucleotides. RefSeq lists it as uncharacterized. The record is from RefSeq and is a predicted model, not a curated record. Lineage: Eukaryota; Metazoa; Tardigrada; Eutardigrada; Parachela; Macrobiotidae. The transcript has 3 exons.